Molecule: long non-coding RNA, 495 nt
Filed under: Musa acuminata (dwarf banana)
Lineage: Eukaryota; Viridiplantae; Streptophyta; Magnoliopsida; Zingiberales; Musaceae
Description: long non-coding RNA (MACU_LNC000853)
Source: RNAcentral
UUAACCUGGAAAUUGUGAGAGCUCUUGCCAGAGGUAUGCAUUUUGUUCUGAAGGUUAAGUAUCACGUGAGGCCUCUACCAUUAUUGGUUUGAUGUUAGUUGGUAUAUAAAUGUUUUAUCCAUCUUGACAUUUUCAACUUUAAUGUUGUUGUUGUUGUAUGACAUUUUCAACUUUUAUAUUGCUCCUGCAUCAUUGUUCUUUAUCUCCUUCUCCUGCCAGUAUCUACCAUUUGCCGGAUGCUUCUGCCUGGAUGCCAACUCAGUAACAAUAAAACAGUAUCAUCAAUCAUCACUCUGUUUGCUAAUUAAUUCAGUCUUAUGCCAAAGUCGAAAUGUUUACGCCAUAUGUUUUUAAAUAAAGAAUCUUGUUGUGCACACCACAUCCUAUGAAGCACGAGUGGUUGAUACUUGAUAGGAGAUUGGGACUAUACAGUUAGGAUUAUAUUACGACCUGAGUCAUCGAUUUGGAUGCAGAUGCAAAUAUGGCAUGAUGAAG